CCUACGGGAGGCAGCAGUGAGGAAUAUUGGUCAAUGGACGAGAGUCUGAACCAGCCAAGUAGCGUGAAGGAUGACUGCCCUAUGGGUUGUAAACUUCUUUUAUAUGGGAAUAAAACAGGGUAUGCAUACCCUCUUGUAUGUACCAUAUGAAUAAGGAUCGGCUAACUCCGUGCCAGCAGCCGCGGUAAUACGGAGGAUCCGAGCGUUAUCCGGAUUUAUUGGGUUUAAAGGGAGCGUAGGUGGGUUGUUAAGUCAGUUGUGAAAGGCUGGGGCUCAACCGUAAAAUUGCAGUUGAAACUGGCCGUCUAGAGUACAGUAGAGGUAGGCGGAAUGCGUGGUGUAGCGGUGAAAUGCUUAGAUAUCACGAAGAACUCCGAUUGCGAAGGCAGCUUACUGGACUGCAACUGACGCUGAGGCUCGAAAGUGUGGGGAUCAAACAGGAUUAGAUACCCCAGUAGUC
Molecule: ribosomal RNA, 460 nt
Filed under: uncultured bacterium
Lineage: Bacteria
Description: partial 16S ribosomal RNA
Rfam family: Bacterial small subunit ribosomal RNA
Source: RNAcentral